ACCACUGACACUUUGUGAUGGGACUUAUAAGGCUUAAACACAGGUCUGUUAAAACACACAGAUUUUAAGGUUAAACAAGCAAACAAUGGAAGUGGAAUCUGAAUUGAAUUUUUAAAAAAACACACAAGGAAGGCUUAGAGCUGUGCUCAUUAACCAGCACCACUGUGGCCACUAGCCAUAUGUGGUUGUUGCACACUUAAAAUGUAGCCCGUGUGACUGAGGAACUGAGUUUUAAAUGUUACUUAAUGUCAAUUAAUUUAAAUGUAAAUUUAAAAAUGGAAGCAGUGUAAAAUAUUUUUCUGGUAGACACAACUUUAUUGCUCUGGUGGGACUUGAUUUUAACUGUUGUAUCAGCUAAAGGGAAGUUAUCCCAGAUGGAAGCCAGAUUUCAGAAGGAAUCUACAGGAAGGAAUGAAAAGCACUAAAAAAGAUGUGACACUCACCGUGAAGGUCUGCAG
Molecule: long non-coding RNA, 458 nt
Filed under: Homo sapiens (human)
Lineage: Eukaryota; Metazoa; Chordata; Mammalia; Primates; Hominidae
Description: HSALNT0301571
Source: RNAcentral